GAAAUGCGAUAAGUAAUGUGAAUUGCAGAAUUCGGUGAAUCAUCGAAUCUUUGAACGCACCUUGCGCUCCUUGGUAUUCCUUGGAGCAUGCCUGUUUGAGUAUCAUGAAAUCUUCAAAGUAAAUCUUUUGUUAACUCAAUUGGUUUCUACUUUGGUAUUGGAGGUCUUUGCAGCUUCACACCUGCUCCUCUUUGUUCAUUAGCUGGAUCUCAGUGUUAUGCUUGGUUCCACUCGGCGUGAUAAGUUAUCUAUCGCUGAGGACACUGUAAAAGGUGGCCAAGGUAAAUGCAGAUGAACCGCUUCUAAUAGUCCAUUGACUUGGACAAUACUUUUAUGAUCUGAUCUCAAAUCAGGUGGGACUACCCGCUGAACUUAAGC
RNAcentral lists this unclassified non-coding RNA (378 nucleotides) under plant metagenome. RNAcentral's name for it is "partial contains 5.8S ribosomal RNA, internal transcribed spacer 2, and large subunit ribosomal RNA". The stretch from base 1 to 105 matches the Rfam family "5.8S ribosomal RNA", at positions 50 to 154 of the family's 154-position model. The record is from RNAcentral.